Aedes aegypti (yellow fever mosquito) is the source of this 947-nucleotide long non-coding RNA. RefSeq lists it as uncharacterized. The record is from RefSeq and is a predicted model, not a curated record. The transcript is spliced from 3 exons. Lineage: Eukaryota; Metazoa; Arthropoda; Insecta; Diptera; Culicidae.
GUAUAUAGGGCCCUAUUAUGGAUAUCACUUUCACGUUCACUUACACUUCACCCUUCAAUCACUUCACUUGUUUUGGUCUAUUCCCGUUGUCACGGACGGUGAAGUGAUUGAAAAUGAACUCAGUGGAGUGACAACUGCAGUGUAGUGGUAUUCAUAAUCGCAAUGUUUAUAGUGCAACAUCGGAAGCCACAAACUGUCACUUGCUGCGUUCGUUGUUCUUUCUUACAUAUGAAAGUAGAAGAGUAUUCAUUACUUAUUUGCUUAAUUGUUGCUAAAAAGGUGGGAUAGUUCAGUUUUUGUUUCAAUCAUGAGCGUGGAACUUUGGUUUGAUACUGACAGUGAAGACGACGAGGAGUAUGCCAAUCUUGCCGUAGAACGUAGGCGUAUAAGGGAUUACUCUAAUCCACUAGAUCAAACAGAAAAAUCUUUUGUCAAAUUGUUUAGAGUGUCAAAAGACAUUUUUUCACUCCUGCUGGAAAUCAUUGAUACGAAACUGAAACCAUCUAGUCAUUCAACUGCAGUUUCUCCAUUGAUUAUGCUAGCGGCUUCUUUGAGGUUCUUUUCCGAAGGAAGUUAACAGAGGGGUGUUGGAAAUUAUCGAUAUGUUGGAUUGGCGCAACCUACGAUGUCAAAAGUAUUGCAGUUAGUUUUGGACAUACUUGAGAAGGAAAUAUGCCCCGUCGAAAUCGUUUUCCCAACCGACGAACGUGAAAAGCAUAUCAUAAAACAGGGCUUUUACGAACAAACGGGAUUUCCAGGAGUCAUCCGUUGCGUAGACCGAACCCAUGUGAGCAUAAUAGCUCCAACUCAUGACAAACACCUAUUUUACAACCGAAAAGGGUUCUACAGUCUAAAUGUUAUGUUGGUAUGUGAUCACAAUCUGUUGAUCCGAUAUGUGGACGCCAAUCACCCGGGUUCCUCUCACGAUUCAUUUGUUUGGAAUGGAA